Molecule: transfer RNA, 74 nt
Filed under: Streptococcus salivarius
Lineage: Bacteria; Bacillati; Bacillota; Bacilli; Lactobacillales; Streptococcaceae
Description: tRNA-Ile
Rfam family: tRNA
About the family: Transfer RNA (tRNA) molecules are approximately 80 nucleotides in length.
Source: RNAcentral
GGGCGCGUAGCUCAGAUGGUUAGAGCGCACGCCCGAUAAGCGUGAGGUCGGUGGUUCGAUUCCACUCGUGCCCA